UGGCGAACGGGUGAGUAACACGUGGGUAACCUACAUAUUAGCAGGGGAUAACAUUUGGAAACAAGUGCUAAUACCGUAUAAUACCAACAACCGCAUGGUUGUUGGUUGAAAGAUGGUUCUGCUAUCACUAAGAGAUGGACCCGCGGUGCAUUAGCUAGUUGGUAAGGUAACGGCUUACCAAGGCAAUGAUGCAUAGCCGAGUUGAGAGACUGAUCGGCCACAAUGGGACUGAGACACGGCCCAUACUCCUACGGGAGGCAGCAGUAGGGAAUCUUCCACAAUGGGCGCAAGCCUGAUGGAGCAACGCCGCGUGUGUGAUGAAGGGUUUCGGCUCGUAAAACACUGUUAUAAGAGAAGAACGGCACUGAGAGUAACUGUUCAGUGUGUGACGGUAUCUUACCAGAAAGGAACGGCUAAAUACGUGCCAGCAGCCGCGGUAAUACGUAUGUUCCAAGCGUUAUCCGGAUUUAUUGGGCGUAAAGCGAGCGCAGACGGUUAUUUAAGUCUGAAGUGAAAGCCCUCAGCUCAACUGAGGAAUGGCUUUGGAAACUGGAUGACUUGAGUGCAGUAGAGGAAAGUGGAACUCCAUGUGUAGCGGUGAAAUGCGUAGAUAUAUGGAAGAACACCAGUGGC
This 633-nucleotide ribosomal RNA is filed under the name uncultured bacterium. RNAcentral describes it as "bacterial SSU rRNA". It matches the Rfam family "Bacterial small subunit ribosomal RNA", at positions 96 to 716 of the family's 1533-position model. The record is from RNAcentral.